GAUGAACGCUGGCGGCGUGCCUAAUACAUGCAAGUCGAGCGAACAGACGAGGAGCUUGCUCCUCUGACGUUAGCGGCGGACGGGUGAGUAACACGUGGGUAACCUACCUAUAAGACUGGGAUAACUUCGGGAAACCGGAGCUAAUACCGGAUAAUAUAUUGAACCGCAUGGUUCAAUAGUGAAAGACGGUUUUGCUGUCACUUAUAGAUGGAUCCGCGCCGCAUUAGCUAGUUGGUAAGGUAACGGCUUACCAUGGCAACGAUGCGUAGCCGACCUGAGAGGGUGAUCGGCCACACUGGAACUGAGACACGGUCCAGACUCCUACGGGAGGCAGCAGUAGGGAAUCUUCCGCAAUGGGCGAAAGCUUGACGGAGCAACGCCGCGUGAGUGAUGAAGGUCUUCGGAUCGUAAAACUCUGUUAUUAGGGAAGAACAAAUGUGUAAGUAACUAUGCACGUCUUGACGGUACCUAAUCAGAAAGCCACGGCUAACUACGUG
This 497-nucleotide ribosomal RNA is filed under the name uncultured bacterium. RNAcentral's name for it is "partial 16S ribosomal RNA". It matches the Rfam family "Bacterial small subunit ribosomal RNA", at positions 28 to 507 of the family's 1533-position model. The record is from RNAcentral.